CAGUAGCCACGGUAAUACGAAGGGUGCAAGCGUUACUCGGAAUUACUGGGCGUAAAGCGUGCGUAGGUGGUGGUUUAAGUCCGUUGUGAAAGCCCUGGGCUCAACCUGGGAAUUGCAGUGGAUACUGGGUCACUAGAGUGUGGUAGAGGAUAGUGGAAUUCCCGGUGUAGCGGUGAAAUGCGUAGAGAUCGGGAGGAACAUCAGUGGCGAAGGCGGCCAUCUGGGACAACACUGACGCUGAGGCACGAAAGCGUGGGGAGCAAACAGGAUUAGAUACCCGCGUAGUCCCUGUCUCUUAUAC
Molecule: ribosomal RNA, 301 nt
Filed under: uncultured bacterium
Lineage: Bacteria
Description: partial 16S ribosomal RNA
Rfam family: Bacterial small subunit ribosomal RNA
Source: RNAcentral